GAUCCUGGCUCAGGAUGAACGCUAGCUACAGGCUUAACACAUGCAAGUCGAGGGGCAGCAUGAUUGAAGCUUGCUUCAAUCGAUGGCGACCGGCGCACGGGUGAGUAACACGUAUCCAACCUGCCGAUAACUCGGGGAUAGCCUUUCGAAAGAAAGAUUAAUACCCGAUAGUAUAGUAUUUCCGCAUGGUUUCACUAUUAAAGAACUUCGGUUAUCGAUGGGGAUGCGUUCCAUUAGAUUAG
Molecule: ribosomal RNA, 242 nt
Filed under: uncultured bacterium
Lineage: Bacteria
Description: partial 16S ribosomal RNA
Rfam family: Bacterial small subunit ribosomal RNA
Source: RNAcentral